RNAcentral lists this unclassified non-coding RNA (586 nucleotides) under Hevea brasiliensis (rubber tree). The record is from RNAcentral. Lineage: Eukaryota; Viridiplantae; Streptophyta; Magnoliopsida; Malpighiales; Euphorbiaceae.
UCCACUCUAAACGAUUUUGGGUUCAAUUCAUCAAAUCAAUAAUACAACAGUAUUUCCUCUCUCUAUUUCUCCUUCUAAUAUUGGUGUUAUGGUGAUUAGAGAUUAUGUUAUGUAACAUAAGCACACUGAAAUCAAGCUAGGUUAUGCUUGGCACAUUUAAACAUGAGAAUAGUUUUAUUAAGUGACAUAUCUAUGGAUGGUUUUAAAUAGCAACCGUCACAUUAUAUAACGGCCGUUAUUUAUAGGUUUUUAAAAGUCUCGUUAACUGUUAGACCGUUAUUUAAAAGUAUAUCCUGGUUUGCAUGGGUAGCUGUUACCAAUGUUACGUAACGGCAACCGCCGUUACCCAUGCAAACUAGGAUAUGCCUUUAAGUAACAACCUAACGGUUAACGAGGCCUCUAAAUAACAUUAAAUAUCGAUUAAUGUUAUUUGCCGUUAAGUAACAAUAACAGCCGUUACCCCCAAUAACGCAGCAACUUAAAAAGGACAGCAGAUAGGCUUUCUUCAUUUUUUUUUUUUUUUUCAUUCUUUGCAUAUUGUAGCUUCCCAACCAGGGCUCCGAUCACAUUUUCUCUCAAAAUUUCA